Molecule: long non-coding RNA, 6519 nt
Filed under: Salmo salar (Atlantic salmon)
Lineage: Eukaryota; Metazoa; Chordata; Actinopteri; Salmoniformes; Salmonidae
Description: lncRNA (ENSSSAG00000097040.1)
Source: RNAcentral
GGUUGGAUGGGCUGUGUACAGCUGCAGCGAUCGGUAAGCUGCUCUGACAGCUGACGCUUAAAGUUAGUGAGGGAGAUAUAAGUCUCCAACUUCAGUGAUUUUUGCAAUUUGUUCCAGUCAUUGGCAGCAGAGAACUGGGAGGAAAGGCGGCCAAAGGAGCUGUUGGCUUUGGGGAUGACCAGUGAAAUAUACCUGCUGGAGCGUGUGCUGGAGCGCGGUGGGAGUUGCUAUGGUGACCAGUGAGCUGAGAUAAGGCGGAGUUUACCUAGCAAAUGUUUAUAGAUGAUCUGGAGCCAGUAGGUUUGGCGAUGAAUAUGAAGCGAGGACCAGCCAACGAGAGCAUACAGGUCACAGUGAUUAACCGAUGGUGAUUAAUUUAACCGUCUCCCCCUCCCCACCCCCCCUCUCUCUCUCGCUCUCGCUCUCUCUCACUCUCCCCCGCCCCCCCUCUCUCUCUCUCCCUCUCCCUCCCUCCCCCUCAUUCUCUUUCUCUCUCGCUCUCUCUCUCUCUCUCUCUCUCUCUCUCUCUCUCCCCCAAGUGUGCAUGUAGUCAAGGAGAUGUACAGUUGAAGUCAUAUACAGGCUCAAAUCGGCAGCCCAGCAGGCCCAUUCAGGGUGGUGAAUGGAAGCAGCUCCUGCGCUCGGAGAGCAGAGGUGUUUUUCUAUGGACACUGGAGGACUGUAUUGUGGCUUGAAAGCAGCUAAUGUGUGGAGAAAGAUGGACUGUGGGAAUGCUGUAGCUGCAACUUACAGACCUCAGUUUGGAGGGAAGUGGAGGAUACCAACUAGCAUGUAUUGAUUGCUAAGGUCAGGAUUCUACUCUUGAGCAGUGUACAUUAGUCUCACAUGGAGAUGGUGUCUUUGAGCAUAAGCAUAAUUAUGCUAAUGUCAUCUGCUCAGAUUUUGUCAAGUUUGUGGAUGAAGCUGGUUUCUGCUCUGGAAGAGUGGAGCUGAAGUCCAAUCAGUCCUGGACGUCAGGGUGUGAAGCUGACUUUGACUGGCAGGAUGCAGAGGACGUCUGUCGGGAGCUUGGCUGUGGCACCUUGUUGAGAAUAGAUAAAUAAAUAGUAUGUACUCUUCUUUCUCCAGAGUCUGAUGAUGUGAGGCUGGUGGGAGGAGGCAGUCGCUGCGUUGGUAGAGUGGAAUGGUACCAACAGGGAAAGAGGAAUAUGUGGCCUGUAAAAUAUGGCUGGAAAUUGAAGGAUGUCGCUGAUGUUUUUGUGUAGACAGCUGGACUGUGGCUCCACUGUUUCAACACUACUUGGGAAAAUGCACUGAAGGGUUUGAAGUGUACUGUAAUGGACCUGAGCCGGCGCUCAGGGACUGUGGAAGAGGCACAGGGCCAACUUUGGUGACUCCAUUAAAGGUGAUCUGCUCAGAUCUCCCGCUUAAGCCUGAUAUCUCCAUGACCAUCUCAAUGGGACGGGUCUCCAGGGGCCACCAAAGGACUCUAGAGGUGUUCAGGGGCCACAGCUUCACCAGCACCUGCUCCACUCAGCCACAGCACCCGGGUGUCUCCUUCCUCCUCACGUACCCUGACUCCAAAACAACCCAGACCUAGCCAGCUGUCUAUCACUCUGCUGCCUUCCUCUUUCCCGCUGCAGAUGGCUUCCACCAAGGGAACUACAGCUGUGUUCAUGAGAUUUAUGUUUUUUCACAUGACUUCUCUUCUGAGAGUGAGCUCCUCUCCCUCACUGUCACAGUCUCUCCUCUGACAGCUUUCCACUGUCGGUGAAAGCCAACUCCACCACCUAUCUGUACAUCAAGACCACCAAGAGGCCGAAGCGAGUGGAAGGGGUGAACUUGGAGAUGGUUUCUCUGAAGUCUACAGCUGUAGCCAGAUGGGGAGAGGAGAGAGCAGCCCAGGGUACAGAGUAGGGUGAAGUUGACUGAAAAGUCCAAGUGGGGUCCUUGGGAUGAAAGUUGAAAUUGAAAGUUAAAAUGUUUAAAAUGUAGUUGAAAUCUAAAACAUUUAACGUUGUAAAAAGUUAAGGGUUAAGGUUAGGGUUAAGGUUAGGGUUAUGGUUAUGGUAAGGUUUAGGGUAUCGAUGUCCCAAGGUUUCCGGGUGGCACUAACUGAAGUUGACCGUAGAGACGUUGACCUUAGGUCAGUUUUUUGUUUUCCAGAUAUGAUGGGACUGGUGUGGAUUUGAGGGGACUUUAAUCCCCAUCCAAUCUAAUUAAAUGAGUGGUAAGUUUCCAUUGAUGUUGCUAUUGUUAUGGCUACACUCCUAUUGUUGUAGUUGUCAUUGCUGCCAGACAUAAGAGUUGGCCAGAGCACAGUUAGCAUUAGCCUAGCUUAGCUGAGACAUGAUCAUAUGUCAGCGUAGGGCUAGGUUGCCCCGAGGUGCUGCUCUAAUAUCAACCACCAGCUGUCUCCACUGCUCCCCUCUAAGCCCCACUCGACUUGAGGGGUAACUUGUUCUUACCCUGGGUAACCAACUGAGCGCUCAAGAUACAAUACAAGAUACAAUACCUAAAUCCUAACCUUUGUCAGGUUAUAUCUGUGACAGUUUUUUUGGUUUUAAACUCAACUCUUGAGAUGGAUAACAAAGACAGUUACUUAAUAUAAAGCAUUGAGUUUCCAUUCAUAUAUAGCUACUAAUCACCUUGAGGGGAAAAAAAUGGGAAAAGUCACAUCAACUAAUUUGAACGUUUUUUUAUUUAAGUGAAAGACAUGAUAUUACACGUGACAUGAUAGCUAAUAAAGAUGUACACAUCAUUUAUUACAAGAAUUGUUUGGAAUCACUUCCCUGUGCUCACUCAAAACCUCCACUCCUUCAGUCUGGGUUAGACACACAGAUGGCAGCCAAUCUCUUCAGUAAAUAUCAGUAGUUUCAUUGACUCCAGCUCAGAAUAAAGAGAAAACCCUAACAAAACGAGUGGUAGAAACCCCAUCAGAGGACACAUUCUGCCCACAGAGUCCAAUCAUGGCUUCAGAGAGCUAAAUAACCAUGGUGAUAUUGUCUGAACAGCUGUUUGUGUGUGAAAGUGAGAGUGCAUUGCGCAUAUAUGUUCCUGUGACUUUUUGCUAUUUUGCUAUUAUUAGCAUCAAAUGAUGUUAUUUGUGUGGGUCAGUGCAAAUAGUGUACAUGUGGGUGGGUUGUGCGUGUGUGUUCAGCAGUGGGUGAUCAGUGUGUGCACGGAGGUGUGUGCGAGGGAGCUGCGUGAAGGAUUAGCCCCAGUGUGUGUCCACCAGUGAUUAGCCUGGUCAGUGGGCCUGUUGUGCAUUCACCCAGUCCAUUAGCAUAUUAAUGCUGCCUCCCUCUUGAUCUCUCUGUCUCUCUCUUUUCUCCACCCUCUCUCUUUCUCUUUCCUUUCUAUAGCUAUUUCCCGAGUCUCGCUCGAACUUCCUCCCUGGCAAUUUUUUUCUCAACUUAUUUUGUACUUCCCUUUCUCUCUGCGCUCAGUUUGGGCCCUUCGUACUUUACACAUUUCUCUCUUCCUUGUUCUCUUGUCUUUCCCUCCAAAAAUGUCCUAUUGCCCUUUUCUCCUCCUUCUUUCUCUUCCGAAAUCCCUCCUUCCCUGAUAAUCCCAGUCUCUCGCCCCAAGCCCCGUCUCUCCCUACAAUCUCCAAAUCCUUUACAGUGCUUUACUUUCGCUCUCGUUUUCCCUAUUAUUCCGUAGCCUAACCCCUGAACCUUGCCAAACACAGGCAAAUGCAAACACACACACCUCACUUCAUUCAUUCAAUCUAAUUUUCUCUCACUCUCUCCCCUUUCCUGCUAGAAGUGUGCAUCUUGUGAGACCUUUUGUGAAUAGCUUUGAAAGAAAAAGCAACCUAGAAAACAGGGACUGAAGUGCAAACCGGACACAUUCAACAGUACUUAACAUUAUAAAUGCUAUUCAUUUCUCCCUCUAAUGACUUCAGCCUCCAAGUAGACUCAACCUCUUGUUCUGGCUCUUAACCGCCACCGUGAGCCACGUUUAGAAGCUGGAGAAUAGUAGAAGUAAAAAUAAUUUCUUGGAAAAAGCCCAGUGUGCUAAAGGUGAGCAUUUAUACCCACACGUUUCCUUCUGUCCCUUCCAUGUCUGCAUUACUGGAGAUUUCUGGAGGUCAGGGGCGUGAUGUCCAUCCACAACUCCUGGUUUCAGGGAGGCAGACACAAGAAUUGCGUUUGGACAAUCAGCUCCGGACCCCCUGGGUCAGCACAUAGCAGGGAUGGAUGGGCAGACGUUUGGAUAGACAUAGGGUACAGAGAAACGUAUAGGGAAAUUAAGGCCUCUGAAACCCUAACUCAACCACCCUUUCUGUAUGUUCAUGACACAAUGAUGAACGCAGGGUCACUUUGCAGGGCAGCACCCCAAGGCAGCAGCAAUGUGACCCAUACAAAAGGGCUCCCCAUGGUCACACGGAUCAAAGAGACAAAAGCUCCCUAUGAUAACUUAGUGCAGCCGAGUGUUAACACAUGAGCAGCCAAGGUAAGAGCUGGAAACAAAAGUGAGAAGUUGAAACAAAAGUAGCCCCCCAAACUGAAUUGCUCUAUGCAACAUUUGUCUUUCAAUAUGAGCUGUGUCAAAAUGAAUAAUAUGGGCCGCUUUCGAAAGGCCUCAGCCAUUCAUUGAUGCUCCAUGUGCUGCUCACAAUUGAAGAGCAGCCCCGUACGCCCCACAAAGAGAAAUAAAGUAUUUCAUAUCCAUAUCUUAAAGUUAAUGUUAACAGUUAUUUGUUUGAGUAGAUACUAUUGAGUAGAUACUAUAAAAAGUCAUAUUUAAAAGUCUAAUGAAGACUUGUUUUUCUUUUGAAUUCAGAAAAUGCCCUUUUUCUUAAAUAUUUGAUUACAGAAAAAAAGUGGUUCAUUUAAAAUCUGGUUAAAUUAACCUCUUUUAAAUAUCAAAAACUAAAUCUGGAUUUUUACAGUACUUAGUACAUUUUUUCCCCACAGAGGAUGUUUAGAAGGUUCAAUAAAGUGUAUUUCCCUUCCUGAAUAUCAGCCACGACUGGAAAAUAAAAGCUAGUCACCCAUUUUUACCCAUUCAUCUUGAGAAGUUUCUUCAAAGUGGUAGUAAUCUGUUAAGCAGCAGUGAAGUUGUUCCACUGUCCCGGCAAGGAAUCCAACGAGAGUCCAACUGCUGCAUCUGGUCUACGACAUGGCUCCGUGUCUCAGAUACGACCUCAGAUACGACCUGAGGCCUAAAAACAUUGACACGUUAUAACAAAUAAAAACCCUGCUGCUCAAAGGUGUAGAAAUUCAUCCUGAAAUAUUUUUUUAUCUUCUUCCCUCAGAUAGGUUAUUGUUUUAGCUGCGUUGCGUUCAAUGUCUGACACACUUGUCCUACUUUAGCAUCUUAACUCUUGCCUUCUCUGCUCCUGCAUCCUUCUCUCUUGCGUUCUCCGACCCUUUCUGCCUGUUCUUCCUUCCGUCUUUCAAUUUCCUUCACUCCCCCCUCUCUCUCUUUUUUUCUCUCUCUCUCUCGCUCUCUCGCUCUCUGUCUCUCUCUCUUCAUUUCAUGCAGCACUGGGGUUACCUAAGAGACUGGGCCUCAAUGAAGAAAAUCUCCUUUGGUACAAUGAACUGGGCGAGAGGCAGAGGGGGAGAAGUGGGGUGGGGGGGGAAAGAUAGUGAUGCAGAUGCGGGACAGAGGGAUCCAAAAUCCAAAAUUGAAUAAAUGGUUGCGCUUGUGUGAUUUCGCUUCAAUGGUCCGUCUUUUGGGGUCGCCGUUGGCGCCUCUUGAUCAGUCAGUCUGUUGGGCUGAGCUGAAAACAUCUCCCACUUUUGAAUCUUAUGCUGAAUUUCCAACUAACCUCUCCCUGUAUAAAAGUGCUAGAAAAUGUAAAAAAAAAAAAUCCAACUGUUCUUAUAAGACUAGGAGAUCAUUUUGUUUUUAAUAGUGUUGUUUUCAUGUAGGCCUAUACGGCUGCGUUCAUACAGGCAUCCCAAAUCUGACCUUCUUGUCAUUAAUUGGUCUUUUGACCAAUCAGAUCAGCUCAAAAAAAGCUAUUAGUAGAAAAAAAAUCUGAAUUGAGCUGCCUGUGUAGAUGCAGCCUAUGGGAUUUACCUUUUCAAACCUAAUUGUACAGAUUUUUGAAAUAUGAUGCUUUUGGGAGUAUUCGGCAGUUUCAAUAGGAGCCAUUUUGUGUGUUUGUUUGUGUACUCUGAGUGGGAGGUGAAACGGCAUUGAGGAUCAGACUGCUCUAUUAAAGGACAAGUGUGUGUUUUGACAACACAACACCAACAUGGUCACAGGCCCAUUCAACACAAUUAAACAUCAUCCCUGUUUUAUUUAACACAUUUGCCCCAGAAUCAACUUAAUUUGUCACGUCAAAAAAAUGAAACUAGUGAUAAGUAAUUUUCACAAAAUGUUCUGCAAGCACCUUAUUGGGUAUGUUAAUGAUAUUAUUAUUCUUUCCAUUUGUUUUGGAGCAGCAUACAAAUUCCUAUUGCUCCAAUCUGUCUCUUUACAUCUCUCCUUAAAGCUACCCUUUGCAGAAUGUGAGAAGAACAAUAGGACUAAUAAAAGUGGUUUAGCUAAUAAUUAUGAAGUUAGUUGAUGAAGUUAGUUACCACUCCCACUCCC